This 468-nucleotide ribosomal RNA is filed under the name uncultured bacterium. Its description in RNAcentral is "partial 16S ribosomal RNA". It matches the Rfam family "Bacterial small subunit ribosomal RNA", at positions 28 to 507 of the family's 1533-position model. The record is from RNAcentral.
GACGAACGCUGGCGGCGUGCUUAACACAUGCAAGUCGAACGGAAAGGCCCGGCGUUUGUGGGGUGCUCGAUUGGCGAACGGGUGAGUAACACGUGAGUAACCUGCCCUUGACUUUGGGAUAACUUCAGGAAACUGGGGCUAAUACCGGGUAGGAGCUCCUGCUGCAUGGGGGGGGUUGGAAAGUUUCGGCGGUUGGGGAUGGAUUCGCGGCUUAUCAGCUUGUUUGUGGGGUAGUGGCGUACCAGGGCUUUGACGGGUAGCCGGCCUGAGAGGGUGACCGGCGACAUUGGGACUGAGAUACGGCCCAGACUCCUACGGGAGGCAGCAGUGGGGAAUAUUGCACAGUGGGCGGAAGCCUGAUGCAGCAACGUCGCGUGCGGGAUGCCGGCCUUCGGGUUGUAAACCGCUUUCGCCUGUGACGAAGCGUGAGUGACGGUACUGGGUAAAGAAGCACCGGCUAACUACGUG